UACGUAGGGUGCGAGCGUUGCCCGGAUUUAUUGGGCGUAAAGGGCGCGUAGGCGGCCACGCACGUCCGUUGUGAAAUCGCCCGGCUCAACUGGGCGGGGUCAGCGGAUACGGUGUGGCUAGAGCAAGCUAGGGGGCAAUGGAAUUCCCGGUGUAGUGGUGGAAUGCGUAGAUAUCGGGAGGAACACCAGUGGCGAAGGCGGUUGCCUGGAGCUUUGCUGACGCUGAUGCGCGAAAGCGUGGGGAGCGAGCCGG
Molecule: ribosomal RNA, 253 nt
Filed under: uncultured bacterium
Lineage: Bacteria
Description: partial 16S ribosomal RNA
Rfam family: Bacterial small subunit ribosomal RNA
Source: RNAcentral